This 254-nucleotide ribosomal RNA is filed under the name uncultured bacterium. RNAcentral describes it as "partial 16S ribosomal RNA". It matches the Rfam family "Bacterial small subunit ribosomal RNA", at positions 524 to 776 of the family's 1533-position model. The record is from RNAcentral.
UACGUAGGGAGCGAGCGUUGUCCGGAUUUACUGGGCGUAAAGGGCGCGUAGGCGGCCUGUUAAGUGUGAAGUGAAAUCUCCAGGGCUCAACCCGGAAACCGCUUCGCAUACUGGCAGGCUGGAGGAAGGCAGAGGUGAGUGGAAUUCCCGGUGUAGCGGUGACAUGCAUUGAUAUCGGGAGGAACACCCAUGGCGAAGGCAGCUCACUGGGCCUUUCCUGACGCUGAGGCGCGAAAGCGUGGGUAGCAAACAGA